UACGAAGGGGGCGAGCGUUGUUCGGAUUUACUGGGCAGUAAAGGGUGCGUAGGCGGCGCGGUAAAGUCGGGUGUGAAAGUCUCCGGAGCUUAACUCCGAAACUGCAUUCGAUACUGCCGUGCUUGAGGACUGGAGAGGAGACUGGAAUUUACGGUGUAGCGGUGAAAUGCGUAGAUAUCGUAAGGAAGACCAGUGGCGAAGGCGGGUCUCUGGACAGUUCCUGACGCUGAGGCACGAAGGUCAGGGGAGCAAACGGG
RNAcentral lists this ribosomal RNA (257 nucleotides) under uncultured bacterium. Its description in RNAcentral is "partial 16S ribosomal RNA". It matches the Rfam family "Bacterial small subunit ribosomal RNA", at positions 524 to 776 of the family's 1533-position model. The record is from RNAcentral.